Molecule: ribosomal RNA, 508 nt
Filed under: uncultured bacterium
Lineage: Bacteria
Description: bacterial SSU rRNA
Rfam family: Bacterial small subunit ribosomal RNA
Source: RNAcentral
ACGGGAGGCAGCAGUGAGGAAUAUUGGUCAAUGGGCGUAAGCCUGAACCAGCCAAGUCGCGUGAGGGAUGAAGGUUCUAUGGAUCGUAAACCUCUUUUAUAAGGGAAUAAAGUGCGGGACGUGUCCUGUUUUGUAUGUACCUUAUGAAUAAGGAUCGGCUAACUCCGUGCCAGCAGCCGCGGUAAUACGGAGGAUCCGAGCGUUAUCCGGAUUUAUUGGGUUUAAAGGGUGCGUAGGCGGCCUUUUAAGUCAGCGGUGAAAGUCUGUGGCUCAACCAUAGAAUUGCCGUUGAAACUGGGGGGCUUGAGUAUGUUUGAGGCAGGCGGAAUGCGUGGUGUAGCGGUGAAAUGCUUAGAUAUCACGCAGAACCCCGAUUGCGAAGGCAGCCUGCCAAGCCAUGACUGACGCUGAUGCACGAAAGCGUGGGGAUCAAACAGGAUUAGAUACCCUGGUAGUCCACGCAGUAAACGAUGAUCACUAGCUGUUUGCGAUACACUGUAAGCGGCAC